RNAcentral lists this transfer RNA (74 nucleotides) under bacterium. Its description in RNAcentral is "tRNA-Pro". It matches the Rfam family "tRNA". From Rfam's summary of the family: Transfer RNA (tRNA) molecules are approximately 80 nucleotides in length. Their secondary structure includes four short double-helical elements and three loops (D, anti-codon, and T loops). RNAcentral also lists the same sequence under 1 other name. The record is from RNAcentral.
CGGGGUAUGGCGCAGCCCGGUAGCGCGCUUGCAUGGGGUGCAAGAGGCCUCCAGUUCGAAUCUGGAUACCCCGA